RNAcentral lists this ribosomal RNA (253 nucleotides) under uncultured bacterium. Its description in RNAcentral is "partial 16S ribosomal RNA". It matches the Rfam family "Bacterial small subunit ribosomal RNA", at positions 524 to 776 of the family's 1533-position model. The record is from RNAcentral.
UACGUAGGGUCCGAGCGUUGUCCGGAAUUACUGGGCGUAAAGGGCUCGUAGGCGGCCAACUAAGUCGGAUGUGAAAUCCCCAGGCUCAACCUGGGAACUGCAUCCGAUACUGGAUGGCUUGAAUUCGGGAGAGGGAUGCAGAAUUCCAGGUGUAGCGGUGAAAUGCGUAGAUAUCUGGAGGAAUACCGGUGGCGAAGGCGGCAUCCUGGACCGACAUUGACGCUGAGGAGCGAAAGCCAGGGGAGCAAACGGG